CCUACGGGAGGCAGCAGUGAGGAAUAUUGGUCAAUGGACGAGAGUCUGAACCAGCCAAGUAGCGUGAAGGAUGACUGCCCUACGGGUUGUAAACUUCUUUUAUAAAGGAAUAAAGUGAGUCACGUGUGCCUUUUUGCAUGUACUUUAUGAAUAAGGAUCGGCUAACUCCGUGCCAGCAGCCGCGGUAAUACGGAGGAUCCGAGCGUUAUCCGGAUUUAUUGGGUUUAAAGGGAGCGUAGAUGGGUUGUUAAGUCAGUUGUGAAAGUUUGCGGCUCAACCGUAAAAUUGCAAUUGAUACUGGAAGUCUUGAGUACAGUUGAGGUAGGCGGAAUUCGUGGUGUAGCGGUGAAAUGCUUAGAUAUCACGAAGAACCCCGAUUGCGAAGGCAGCUUACUAAACUGUGACUGACAUUGAUGCUCGAAAGUGUGGGUAUCAAACAGGAUUAGAUACCCUAGUAGUC
This 460-nucleotide ribosomal RNA is filed under the name uncultured bacterium. RNAcentral describes it as "partial 16S ribosomal RNA". It matches the Rfam family "Bacterial small subunit ribosomal RNA", at positions 338 to 795 of the family's 1533-position model. The record is from RNAcentral.